GACGAACGCUGGCGGCGUGCUUAACACAUGCAAGUCGAACGGAAAGGCCCUGCUUUUGUUGGGUGCUCGAGUGGCGAACGGGUGAGUAACACGUGAGUAACCUGCCCUUGACUUUGGGAUAACUUCAGGAAACUGGGGCUAAUACCGGAUAGGAGCUCCUGCUGCAUGGUGGGGGUUGGAAAGUUUCGGCGGUUGGGGAUGGACUCGCGGCUUAUCAGCUUGUUGGUGGGGUAGUGGCUUACCAAGGCUUUGACGGGUAGCCGGCCUGAGAGGGUGACCGGCCACAUUGGGAAUGAGAUACGGCCCAGAAUCCUACGGGAGGAAGCAGUGGGGAAUAUUGCACAAUGGGCGGAAGCCUGAGGCAGCAACGCCGCGUGCGGGAUGAUGGCCUUCGGGUUGUAAACCGCUUUCGCCUGUGACGAAGCGUGAGUGACGGUAAUGGGUAAAGAAGCACCGGCUAACUACGUG
Molecule: ribosomal RNA, 468 nt
Filed under: uncultured bacterium
Lineage: Bacteria
Description: partial 16S ribosomal RNA
Rfam family: Bacterial small subunit ribosomal RNA
Source: RNAcentral